UCGUUGCAAAACGCAUCUUCUUUACAACUGCAAAAGUGAUUGAAUCUGCUUAGUGGUAUUACCAGUUCUUAUCCCUUCACAAAGGUUUGAUAUGGCCUGAUAGAUGGGCAUAAUAUCAAUAAGGUUUUUCCUUAAUAUUCAUAAAUUCUAUCAAAAAACACUAUUUAAUGACUUGAAUCAAAUGUCUGGAUCCAACGGAAUCGUUUCCGCCUCUUUUAAAUUGUUCCAGAACGCGUAGGCUUCAUCGAUAAGAAUUCGUUGCAGUACGAGCUUAAAUAUGGCUAAUUUUUCCGUAAUAUCCUUAGAUAUUCUUUUUAACUGCAAAAGUGAUUGAAUCUGCCCAACUCGUACAAUCAGAUGUGAUUAACAAUACAGACAACUUUUUAUGGACAGCAAUUUGCAAGAUUCCUGGCUUUUAUUUUCCUUAAUCAUAACCAAAACAAUUAUCCUUGUUCUAACCAUUGUCAUCAUCUUAGUCACCAUCAGUGAUUUUGGUUAAAUGACAUAGUGCUUUAUUGGGAGUGCCCAAAUCUUAAUUUCCUUAUCUUAAACUGAAAGACGUGACCAAAAAUCAAAGGUUUUCUGAUGUGAUGUCGUUGAAGCUGUGCGAGGAAUCCGGAAUCGGCACAUAGAUGAUAUUAUAACAAGAAGUUUCCAAAUUAAGCAAGAUUUCAAUGAUAU
Long non-coding RNA from Drosophila willistoni, 681 nucleotides. RefSeq lists it as uncharacterized. NCBI's taxonomy places the organism in Eukaryota, Metazoa, Arthropoda, Insecta, Diptera, Drosophilidae. The record is from RefSeq and is a predicted model, not a curated record. The transcript has 3 exons.